Molecule: long non-coding RNA, 231 nt
Filed under: Gossypium barbadense (sea-island cotton)
Lineage: Eukaryota; Viridiplantae; Streptophyta; Magnoliopsida; Malvales; Malvaceae
Description: long non-coding RNA (GBAR_LNC002252)
Source: RNAcentral
CUCUUCUAUAAUGAAGAUUGACCACUAUUUGCUAAUAUAAUUGUAUCAUUGUCAGAUUCUAUAUGUUGACAAUCAUUUGAUCAGAUAAGGGAACAUCUUUACGCGCAAGUCUUCUUAUGAUUCAGACCCCUCACCCUUCAUCUGUAGCAUCCAAGCUAGGAAGGAUCUAGGGAGCUAGCAGGCGCAGCUCCUUCAAAAUCAUUUAAAUCAUUUAUAGUUUAUAAUAUUUUA